GACAUGCUAGUCACGUGCUUCAGCCAAAACGAGGCACGGCAAACAGCUCAGUAACACGUGGCUAAUCUGCCCUUAGGACGCGAACAACCCCGGGAAACUGGGGCUAAUUCUCGAUAGGUGAAGAACUCUGGAAUGAGUCUUUGCCUAAAAGAGCUUACGUUAUGCUCGUAAGUUUCGCCUAAGGAUGAGGCCGCGACCGAUCAGGUUGUUGGUGGGGUAAUGGCUCACCAAGCCUUUUACCGGUGCGGGCCGUGAGAGCGGGAGCCCGGAGAUGGGCACUGAGACAAGGGCCCAGGCCCUACGGGGCGCAGCAGUCGCGAAAACUUUGCAAUACACGAAAGUGUGACAGGGCUAUCCCGAGUGCCAUCCGCUGAGGAAGGCUUUUACCCAGUCUAGAACGCUGGGGGAAUAAGGAGAGGGCAAGUCUGGUGUCAGCCGCCGCGGUAAUACCAGCUCUCCGAGUGGUGUGGAUGUUUAUUGGGCCUAAAGCAUCCGUAGCUGGCUAGGUAAGUCCCCUGUUAAAUCCACCGAAUUAAUCGUUGGAUCGCGGGGGAUACUGCUUGGCUAGGGGACGAGAGAGGCAGACGGUAUUUUUGGGGUAGGGGUGAAAUCCUAUAAUCCCAGGAAGACCACCAGUGGCGAAAGGCUGUCUGCUAGAACGCGCCCGACGGUGAGGGAUGAAAGCUGGGGGAGCGAACCGGAUUAGAUACCCGGGUAGUCCCAGCUGUAAACGAUGCAGACUAGGUGUUUGGACGGCCACGUGCCGUUCUAGUGCCGCAGGAAGCUGUUAAGUCUGCCGCCUGGGAGUACGAUCGCAGAUUGAACUUAA
RNAcentral lists this ribosomal RNA (829 nucleotides) under uncultured crenarchaeote. RNAcentral describes it as "bacterial SSU rRNA". It matches the Rfam family "Archaeal small subunit ribosomal RNA", at positions 48 to 859 of the family's 1478-position model. The record is from RNAcentral. Lineage: Archaea; Thermoproteati; Thermoproteota.